RNAcentral lists this ribosomal RNA (207 nucleotides) under uncultured bacterium. Its description in RNAcentral is "partial 16S ribosomal RNA". It matches the Rfam family "Bacterial small subunit ribosomal RNA", at positions 328 to 538 of the family's 1533-position model. The record is from RNAcentral.
ACGCUCGACACCUACUGGAGGCAGCAGUCGGGAAUAUUGCGCAAUGGAGGAAACUCUGACGCAGUGACGCCGCGUGCAGGAAGAAGGUUUUCGGAUUGUAAACUGCUUUAGACAGGGAAGAACAAAUGACAGUACCUGUAGAAUAAGCUCCGGCUAACUACGUGCCAGCACGCCGGACGGUAAUCUGAGGCGGGCGUGGACGAAGGC